Harpia harpyja (harpy eagle) is the source of this 990-nucleotide long non-coding RNA. RefSeq lists it as uncharacterized. The record is from RefSeq and is a predicted model, not a curated record. NCBI's taxonomy places the organism in Eukaryota, Metazoa, Chordata, Aves, Accipitriformes, Accipitridae. The transcript has 4 exons.
AGGUGUCUGGCAGUCAGGCAUCUCACUGCACAAUCUGGACGAUAGGGUUAGUCUGUCCAUUUCUGAUGUGGAGCUGGUGUUAGCAGCCUCCUGGAGACUUGGCAGCGUGUCAGAGCUGCCAGCCCACUUGCACAUGUACACGAGUACAGGAUGGGGCCCUGAAACUGUGGUGGAUCUGGCUGGGUCCUGCUUAAUCUGAAUUUACAGCUGUUGGCAGACUCAGGUGACACAUCCUCUCCUUAGUGUUUUACCUGUUGGCAUUAAAAAAUUACAAGGAGUGUGAUCUACCAUACAUUUUGCUGAAAGUGGUGAGAUGAUUCACUCUUUCCAUAUUAGGAUAUAAUUUUCUUCAUUUCAGAAACACUCAUAGUCUUCAAGCUAUUUAACCAUAAAUCUGGUUUAAUUUUUCUGUGAGCUUUUAUGUUUGUUAUCAGUCUCAAGGUCUUGCAGAAUGGUGAUUUUCCUGAACUAAAGCUCCAUGGAAAGUGAAAUUUUGUUAAUGAAGCAAAAGUGAAAUAAUGAUUUUUACCAUUCCAGGUGCAUGGCUACUCUGACUUCCUUUUCCUUUCAGGUUCCAAGUGCAAGAAAUGUACCAACAGCUGGUACUGAGAGAGGCAGAUUUUGCUAGCUUGGAUGAUACAGGCAUUUUUGCCAGGAAGAGAGAGGCUGAGAUGCCUUCACCAGCCUUCUGCUGUUGCUGUGUAGGUCCUUCGCUGAGCUCCAGACCUCUGGUUAGAGAUGAAAGGAAGGCUGAACUGCAUUGCAGCUUCUGUGUUUCAGGAAUGCGACUCCUGUCCUUGAACUCAUCUGCAGAUAAAUACAACAUGCCCCUUACUGCUGAGUGGUUUGGGAAGAAUUUCAGCCAGACAAGAGAGGGGAGAUAGAGGAAAGACAGGCUAUGACAGUAACUGGGCUAUCUAAUUCUGCAACGUGGAAAUCGCCUUUUCUCAGCUGCCAGUCUCAAAGUCAAGCUUUCAUUGUGCAAAUAAA